GACGAACGCUGGCGGCGUGCUUAACACAUGCAAGUCGAACGGAAAGGCCCUGCUGGGGUGGGGUGCUCGAGUGGCGAACGGGUGAGUAACGCGUGAGUAACCUGCCCUUGACGUUGGGAUAACGUCAGGAAACUGGGGCUAAUACCGGAUAGGAGCUCCUGCUGCAUGGUGGGGGUUGGAAAGUUUCGGCGGUUGGGGAUGGACUCGCGGCGUAUCAGCUUGUUGGUGGGGUAGUGGCUUACCAAGGCUUUGACGGGUAGCCGGCCUGAGAGGGUGACCGGCCACAUUGGGACGGAGAUACGGCCCAGACUCCUCCGGGAGGCAGCAGUGGGGAAUAUUGCACAAUGGGAGGAAGCCUGAUGCAGCAACGCCGCGUGCGGGAUGACGGCAUUUGGGUUGUAAACCGCUUUCGCCUGUGACGAAGCGUGAGUGACGGUAAUGGGUAAAGAAGCACCGGCUAACUACGUG
RNAcentral lists this ribosomal RNA (468 nucleotides) under uncultured bacterium. RNAcentral's name for it is "partial 16S ribosomal RNA". It matches the Rfam family "Bacterial small subunit ribosomal RNA", at positions 28 to 507 of the family's 1533-position model. The record is from RNAcentral.